UACGGGGGGGGCAAGCGUUGUUCGGAAUUACUGGGCGUAAAGGGCUCGUAGGCGGCCAACUAAGUCGGACGUGAAAUCCCUCGGCUUAACCGGGGAACUGCGUCCGAUACUGGAUGGCUUGAAUUCGGGAGAGGGAUGCAGAAUUCCAGGUGUAGCGGUGAAAUGCGUAGAUAUCUGGAGGAAUACCGGUGGCGAAGGCGGCAUCCUGGACCGACAUUGACGCUGAUGAGCGAAAGCUAGGGGAGCAAACGGG
Molecule: ribosomal RNA, 253 nt
Filed under: uncultured bacterium
Lineage: Bacteria
Description: partial 16S ribosomal RNA
Rfam family: Bacterial small subunit ribosomal RNA
Source: RNAcentral